AGGCAAGAAACAUAAUUGUAAUAUGGUUUCGGCCCAUAACCAGGCAAAUCAACUUGCCCUUGCCUU
RNAcentral lists this transfer RNA (66 nucleotides) under Physunio superbus. RNAcentral's name for it is "tRNA-Arg". The record is from RNAcentral. Lineage: Eukaryota; Metazoa; Mollusca; Bivalvia; Unionida; Unionidae.